ACUGGGCAAGCUCAGUUGGUAGAACAUGAGACUCUUAAUCAUCAAGGGUUGUGGGUUUAAGCCCCACUCUCAGUG
Molecule: non-coding RNA, 75 nt
Organism: Pangasius djambal
Lineage: Eukaryota; Metazoa; Chordata; Actinopteri; Siluriformes; Pangasiidae
Source: the annotation of a GenBank genome assembly